AUGGUAUUUGGCAAUAUUGGUUCUUGGGCUGCCCAAUUGAUCACUGAAGCUGGUGGCAAGGUGGUCUCCAUCAGAGAUGUCACAGGGGCUGUCAAGAACUCCAAUGGCAUUGACAUAGCCAAGCUGAUGAAGCACUCGGCAGAGAACCGCGGGAUCAAGGGCUUUGACGGAGGCGACGCCGUCGACCCGACCUUGCUGCUCACGGAAGAGUGCGACGUGCUCAUCCCGGCAGCUCUGGGAGGAGUCAUAAACAAGGACAAUGCUGAUGCCAUCAAAGCAAAGUACAUCAUCGAGGCUGUUAACCACCCAACAGACCCCGAGGCCACGAGAUUCGGGCAAAGAAGGGCAUGCUGA
RNAcentral lists this ribosomal RNA (354 nucleotides) under Triticum aestivum (bread wheat). Its description in RNAcentral is "partial small subunit ribosomal RNA". The record is from RNAcentral. Lineage: Eukaryota; Viridiplantae; Streptophyta; Magnoliopsida; Poales; Poaceae.